This is a transfer RNA of Camelus ferus (Wild Bactrian camel), 72 nucleotides long. It matches the Rfam family "tRNA". Rfam says of the family: Transfer RNA (tRNA) molecules are approximately 80 nucleotides in length. Their secondary structure includes four short double-helical elements and three loops (D, anti-codon, and T loops). The record is from Rfam. Lineage: Eukaryota; Metazoa; Chordata; Mammalia; Artiodactyla; Camelidae.
GAGGGUAUAGCUCAGUGGUAGAGUGUGUGCCUAGCAUGCACAAAGUCCCAGGUUCGAUCCCCGGUACCUCCA